Molecule: transfer RNA, 74 nt
Filed under: Promethearchaeum syntrophicum
Lineage: Archaea; Promethearchaeati; Promethearchaeota; Promethearchaeia; Promethearchaeales; Promethearchaeaceae
Description: tRNA-Lys (CTT) (tRNA-Lys-CTT-1-1)
Rfam family: tRNA
About the family: Transfer RNA (tRNA) molecules are approximately 80 nucleotides in length. Their secondary structure includes four short double-helical elements and three loops (D, anti-codon, and T loops). Further hydrogen bonds mediate the characteristic L-shaped molecular structure. tRNAs have two regions of fundamental functional importance: the anti-codon, which is responsible for specific mRNA codon recognition, and the 3' end, to which the tRNAs corresponding amino acid is attached (by aminoacyl-tRNA synthetases). tRNAs cope with the degeneracy of the genetic code in two manners: having more than one tRNA (with a specific anti-codon) for a particular amino acid; and 'wobble' base-pairing, i.e. permitting non-standard base-pairing at the 3rd anti-codon position.
Source: Rfam by way of RNAcentral
GGGCCAUUGGCUCAGCCAGGUAGAGCGGCGGACUCUUAAUCCGUUGGUCGGGGGUUCAACUCCCUCAUGGCCCG